RNAcentral lists this ribosomal RNA (637 nucleotides) under uncultured fungus. Its description in RNAcentral is "eukaryotic LSU rRNA". The stretch from base 203 to 637 matches the Rfam family "Eukaryotic large subunit ribosomal RNA", at positions 1 to 428 of the family's 3401-position model. Lineage: Eukaryota; Fungi. The record is from RNAcentral.
GGGAUGUUGGGGGUGUUUUGCAGGUCCCUUUCGAGGUCUGCUCCCCUUGAAUGCAUUAGUGAGGUUCGGCGCUCGGCCUCGACGUGAUAAGUCUAUCUACGUCGUGUCCGGUGCUUUGUUUGUCCUGGUCAGCCAGGGAAAAACGGGACUUUGCUUCCAACCGUCUUCGGACAACCGUGCGCUCGCGCACAACCUUCGAACUCGACCUCAAAUCAGGUGGGACUACCCGCUGAACUUAAGCAUAUCAAUAAGCGGAGGAAAAGAAACUAACAAGGAUUCCCCUAGUAACUGCGAGUGAAGCGGGAAGAGCUCAAAUUUAAAAUCUGGCGGUCUUUUGGCCGUCCGAGUUGUAAUUUAGAGAAGCGUUUUCCGCGCCGGACCGUGUACAAGUCUCCUGGAACGGAGCGUCGUAGAGGGUGAGAAUCCCGUCUUUGACACGGACAGCCGGUGCUAUGUGAUACGCUCUCGAAGAGUCGAGUUGUUUGGGAAUGCAGCUCAAAAUGGGUGGUGAACUCCAUCUAAAGCUAAAUAUUGGCGAGAGACCGAUAGCGAACAAGUACCGUGAGGGAAAGAUGAAAAGCACUCUGGAAAGAGAGUGAAACAGUACGUGAAAUUGCUGAAAGGGAAACGAUUGAAG